This 254-nucleotide ribosomal RNA is filed under the name uncultured bacterium. RNAcentral describes it as "partial 16S ribosomal RNA". It matches the Rfam family "Bacterial small subunit ribosomal RNA", at positions 524 to 776 of the family's 1533-position model. The record is from RNAcentral.
UACGUAGGGUGCGAGCGUUGUCCGGAAUUAUUGGGCGUAAAGAGCUCGUAGGCGGUCUGUCGCGUCGAUCGUGAAAACUUGGGGCUUAACCCUGAGCUUGCGGUCGAUACGGGCAUGACUGGAGUUCGGCAGGGGAGACUGGAAUUCCUGGUGUAGCGGUGAAAUGCGCAGAUAUCAGGAGGAACACCGGUGGCGAAGGCGGGCCUCUGGGCCGUAACUGACGCUGAGGAGCGAAAGCAUGGGGAGCGAACAGG